AGUGAACGCUGGCGGUAGGCCUAACACAUGCAAGUCGAACGGCAGCACAGUAAGAGCUUGCUCUUACGGGUGGCGAGUGGCGGACGGGUGAGGAAUACAUCGGAAUCUACUUUUUCGUGGGGGAUAACGUAGGGAAACUUACGCUAAUACCGCAUACGACCUACGGUUGAAAGCAGGGGAUCUUCGGACCUUGCGCGAUUGAAUGCGCCGAUGUCGGAUUAGCUAGUUGGCGGGGUAAAGGCCCACCCAGGCGACGAUCCGUAGCUGGUCUGAGAGGAUGAUCAGCGACACGGGAACUGAGACACGGUCCAGACUCCUACGGGAGGCAGCAGUGGGGAAUAUUGGACAAUGGGCGCAAGCCUGAUCCAGCCAGACCGCGUGGGUGAAGAAGGCCUUCGGGUUGUAAAGCCCUUUUGUGGGGAAAGAAAAGCAGCAGGUUAAUACCCCGCUGUUCUGACGGUACCCAAAGAAUAAGCACCGGCUAACUUCGUG
RNAcentral lists this ribosomal RNA (492 nucleotides) under uncultured bacterium. RNAcentral describes it as "partial 16S ribosomal RNA". It matches the Rfam family "Bacterial small subunit ribosomal RNA", at positions 29 to 507 of the family's 1533-position model. The record is from RNAcentral.